Molecule: long non-coding RNA, 373 nt
Filed under: Trifolium pratense (red clover)
Lineage: Eukaryota; Viridiplantae; Streptophyta; Magnoliopsida; Fabales; Fabaceae
Description: long non-coding RNA (TPRA_LNC004529)
Source: RNAcentral
CUCUUCAUUUUGAACCCUAAAACCCCUAAUUUAUAUUUCUUGCUUUUCAUUGAUUCUUCAUUGUUUCACUGUUCUUUGUUUUAGGGGACAAGCCAAAGGAUCAGAAACCAUUUGGCAGUAACUGCUUAGUAUAUUAAUAUCAAUUGAAUUCACUCAGAUACAGUUCAAAAUAUUCCUAAUUUUAUUGUCAAUUGAAGUUGCAAUGUCUUAUGGCAGUAACUGCUUAGUCAUGAUAGGUGAGUGAUAGUGUUGCAGUUAACUAAUGUCUAUGGAGGGAAAGUGAGAGCUAUGAAGUAUUGAAUAAGCUACUCCAUGUCUUAUUUGACAUCUCUGUAGUUCUUUUAUUUUUAGAAUGGAAUAAUAUAUAUUCGGU